ACAUACAUAAUCAACUUAGCAUAUCAUAUCACAAAAGUGUCUAACAUACUACAUAACACAUACAUAAACCUGUAAGGAUGUCGUGGGCUCCCCCAGGGUCUUGUACCAUCGUGUCAUGGGUUACCCCACAUGGUCUUUACCUAGGAACGCCAUGGGCUACCCCACAUGGUCUUAUAUCCAACUACCACAGGCUCCCCCCGGGGUCUUCCAUGCAAUAACAUACAAUCACUAGCAUACCACUUAGCAUAAAGCUAAUUAUCAUACCACAUAUUUCUACAACCUCUAGUGUGCCACAUAACAUAAAAUGGGCCGGCCUUGGUGCCUUAGACCCAUUGGUAUGGUAAGAAGACUCACCUCGCACUGCAGAAGCUUCCCGCAUGAAUUCCUUAGCUGCUGCCCCGCCAGCUUCCCGAGCUUCAUCAAGCUGAGAAUGAGUCCCAAAAGCCAGAUCCAUAAGCUCCUCCUUGAUUGCAUCAAACACCAUCUUCUUGAAAAUGAAUCAAACACCCCAAAAAUGGACUCCAUAAGCUCAAAAUGCCACCGUGGAUGAUAUAUGACGAUUUCUAGGGUUUAGAGGGGUGGAGGCCAAAGAUAUUAGGGUUAGGUUAUGAGAUAAGGAACUUAAAUAGGGUCCAAGACCCUAAAAUAGGGUUCCGAUCGACUGGCGUACGCCCAACGUACUCCGAAGAACAUUCACGACCAUCCUGGUCAGUACGCCCAACGUACUCCAAGGUACGCCCCGUGUACUGCCUUCUUCACUAGUACGCCCCGCGUACUCUUUGUGUACACCCCACUUACUCUUUCUGAAUGCCAUAACUUCUUCGUUAUAAGCCUGAUUCUGAUGAUCCUUAUAUCCACAGAAAGGCGAUGAGAAGCCCUACACUUUUAUCAACUCAUACCUUCCUUAAUACCUUACGAACAUAAGUCCAUCUUCCACAAAAGCCCGAACUGCCACUUCACCAAAAUACCUAUAGGCUCCAAAACACAAACCGAACACCUGUAUCACUUUUAAUACAUCACUUGCACCCAAAUGGGCCUACAUCUUACCUUUUCAAAAACCCUAAUCCUUAUGAUGACCGAUCUACGAGCUACAUCCUUAGACUAAGAAUCGAUUCGGAACAGGAUGUUACAUUACCGACGACAUUUUAUCGUCGCUAUACCUCUAUUUUUUUUGUUGUGAAUCACAGGUCAAACGAGGUUAAGGGGUGAAUCGGAGGAAACGGGUCGAGAUCGAGGGCGGUCUUGAAAUUCACGACAGGGAAACGGGAGAACUCGAGGUCGGGAUCAUGAUCGUGAUUAAGGUCGGGGAAACAAGCAAAUUCAUUGGCAGGGGAGGGUAUGUAUGCCCCCGUUUGGUCUCUUUGACAUCCAAACUUAGGUGCGACUUCACUAGAGAGGAGUUGGUUUUGUAAUGCAUGGUUUCUGGUAUGUAUUUAAACUUAUAAUUUAUUCAUUUUUAUAGAGAAACUCGACGAGUCGGAAGCCCAGACUCGUCGAGUAGAGAUGUUUUGGACCGUGCGUUUUGGUGACCAACUCGACGAGCUGGGAGACCUCAACUCGAUGAGCUGGUUGGGUAAAAUGAAACCCUAAUUCCAGGGUUAUGCACCCUAUUUAAACACCUUAAACCUUUCAUGUUGACCUCAUUUCCCAGCCUCCAUUGUCCUAACCCUAAAUCUAGAAAACCUAAGGCAUUUGUGAGAGUUUGUGAGCCAUUUUGGGUGUUUUUGGUGUCUGUUGAAUCCAUUGGAAGAAGGAAAAUCUUGAAGACUCAAGAAGGAGCUUAUAGAUCCAGAAUCCUUGCCUCAUCCACGACUCUUUUCUGAUAUAAAGCUUAAACCUUGCCUUGUAGUUGUUUAGAUCUUCUUUUGGGGUUAUUUUGCUUGGUUUUGGCCCAAAUAUCAUGGUCCUUGGGAGUUGGACAUCCCAAAUGGGUUAAUACUUCAGAACUAGGGUCUUGAGGGGUUUUCAUGGCAUAAAGGUGCUAACUUUAUGGCCAUGGAAGUCCCAUACAACCUUUAGACCAUCAUUUUGAUCCUUUAAGAUCCAAAUGGCCAUGCAUGUGGAUAAAGUUUAAGAUUUUACGUGACCUUUCAGUCCCUAGAGUCGAUAUCUAUGACCUCAGGUCUAUCUUGUAGUUUUGGUGGCUUUUGGAUGAAGACUUUGGCAUUUGUGGGUUAGGGUUUGAGCUUAAUCUCAUUAGGAAGGGUAUUAAUAGAUAAAGUUGGAAACUUUACCCUCCUAGAGGCAUUUAAAGUCUAGAUCUGGAGUAUAGGGUGUAGAUCUGAAGAAAAAAAUGGGUUAAUGCAUUAAGGAGAAUUAACAGACUAAAGAACUCGACGAGUUCAUGGGAGGACUCGACAAGUUGUAUUGAGGAGUUCCGAUUCUAAAGGAAGAACUCGGCGAGUUGGAGGAAAACUCGACGAGUUAGAUCGCGAUUUCAUGAUUCUAUGAUUCAUGGGAACUCGACGAGUUAAAGGGCAAACUCGACGAGUUGAGUCAAAUCGGAGCAUUGACUUUGACUAUGACUUUGACUUGGACCAAAUUUGACCCUUAAGGGGUUAUGAGUAUGAAAGGGUAAUUAAGGAAAUCGGUUAUGUGUAGGGGAUUGAGUUGGGUUGAUAUUCGGAGUUGGGGACUGUUCAGCUACUUCUAGUUUUCGAGGUGAGUUACCUUCACGGAAUGAGUGGGUCGAAGGGACCAAUGUCGGCCCACUAGUAGUUGCUUACAAUAUAGAUGAUUGUCUUUGUGAUAAUUGUCUGGUAUGCCACUAUCUGCUGAGAUUUAUCUGCUUGUAUGCUAUGUUAUUACGUGGUAAUGGUAUGGGGGGAAGUAGACCCCAUAACCAGUCGGAAGAGAUCGAAAGGGUAGGCCAACACCUAUAUAUGCUAGGCAGUAUGUGAUGUAACACCGUAAAUUUUCAAAAUAAUUUUUCACAAAUAUAAAAACAUUUCUCAUUUAAUUUCAUAAAACGUUAAGUUUAAAAUUCCAAAUCAUGUCAUACAAUCCCAAGAUCUCAUAAAUACAUAUCAAAAGUCCCCUGAGUGUGUACGGAUCAAGCCGGCGCCUUCCCACGGUCAUCGCUAGUACCUGAAACAACAACACUAACACUGUAAGCACGAAGCUUAGUGAGUUCCCCAAAAUACCACACAUAAAACACAUAUUAGCCACUCAAGGCUGUAACUCUAUGGGUCCGUGCACCCAGACUCUGUGAACCCUCAGGUUCUAACUCUAGGAACCUUCCGGUCCCAACUCUGUAAACAUGCAUAGCAUAAUCACAUAGAAAUAAUGCAGUACAACACAUAGCAUACACAUAACAUACACACACCAACACAUAGCUCUGAUUACCUACUCAAGGUAAAGUAUAGUGAGAAGACUCACCUCGCGUGUCUCGGUAUCUCACGAAUCCUGGAAAUCCCUCGUGCUCGAUCCUCCGAGCUCUAAUCCUCCUAUAAUAUCACAUGACUCUAAUUAACACUUUUUAUCUCUAAGGUUGACUAUCCCUAAGAAGUCAACACAGGUCAACUCAGGUCAACGGUCAACGGUCAACUUUGACCGGACUCGGCGAGUGCACAACUCGGCGAGUCUAGACGUUUCCACCAACACCUUAGGAUUCCCUUUUUACUCGUCGAGUACUCCCCCUGACUCAACGAGUUCCACCUGGCAGAAUCGUGGGGCCACCCCGACUCAACUCGCCGAGUUCCAAGAAUAACUUGGCGAGUCCCAGUUCGACUCAGUCCACCUGUCAACCCUCUCUAACUCGCCCUGACUCACUGAGUCAACCCAUGACUCGACUGGACCACUCACUGGCCGGUCCAAGGAAAUCUUCAAGCUACUCGCCGAGUCUGUUCAUCAGACUCGGCGAGUCCAUGCCAUGCAAUCGCUCAAACUCGCUUCUAAGGUCAGAUCUGUUCCAACAAUUCAUAGAUCUGGCCUUUCUAGACUGAUUCACCACGUAAAGCCCCAAACUUGAUGCACAUACAACCUCUAUAUGGCUAUAAAUAAAGGAAUACCAACAAAUAUCACUACCCAUGGUCAUGACCUCCAUUGCUCUCCAUAAAGCUUGAUGAAUGAGGCUCUCUGGACCUCUAUGGAUCCAGAUCCAAAGCCUCAUCACUAGCAAGGGACUAUUUGGCCAUCAAAUCAACUCAACAAGGCCACAAGAAACCCUAAAUCCAACUAUACUCCACAAAACAGAAGAUGAACCGAAAUCAUACCUCUAGAUCGAUGAUCUAAGCUUCAAAUCCGCAGAAUAGCAACCUCCUUUGCCUCCUCUUGGCUAGAACCUCCCUCCUCUUUGCUAGACAACACACAAAGGUCAAGAAAUGCUUCCUUUCUCUCCCAAAUCGCCAAAGCACUAUAGGGUUUCUCUCUAUGGACUGUUGGGUACAAAUGACGCCCAUAAGGCCCUUUAAAUAGGUCCUAAACCCGAGAAAUUAGGGUUUCAUUAAACAGCGCGGACUCGCCGAGUCCAGAUCCUGGACUCGCCGAGUCCAAUCAAAUCCCGCGUCCAGAAUCGCGAUCCUACUCGGCGAGUUUGAGCUCCAACUCACCGAGUCCCCUCUCAAAACACCAAAAAUCAAAGCAAUAAAGGAUACCUGGAAAUCCGGACUGUUACAACUCUCCCCCACUAGAACUAGACUUCGCCCUCGAAGUCUCGCUCUGAAAAUAGCUCCGGAUGCUGCUCCCGCAUCUCGCGCUCUGGCUCCCAGGUCAUCUCCGAUCCCUUCCGGUGUUGCCACUGAACCAACACCAGAGGUACCUCCUUGUUCCUCAGAACCUUGAUCUUCCGAUCCCUGGUGGCCACUGGCCUCUCGGCAUAAUUCAGGCUCGAAUCCACCUGAAUAUCCUCUAAUGGAACCACUGCCGACUCAUCGGCUAUACACUUCUGCAAUUGCGACACAUGAAAAGUGUCGUGGAUCUGCCCUAACUCUGCCGGCAAUUCCAAACGAUAGGCUACCCGACCUACCCUCGCAAUCACACGAAAAGGCCCAAUAUACGGGGGCCCCAACUUGCCCCUCUUCCUGAAUCGGAUCACUCCUUUCCAAGGAGAGACCUUCAGGAGAACGAAGUCGCCAACCUGAAACUCAAGCUCGGACCGACGUCUGUCUGCAUAACUCUUCUGACGGCUCUGGGCGGUCAAUAACCUCUGUCUGACCCGCUGAAUCUGCUCUGUCGUCUGAAGCACGAUCUCUGUACUGCCCAUCACACUCUGCCCAACCUCUCCCCUGCAAAUGGGGGUCCGACACCUCCUACCAUACAACAGCUCAAAGGGUGGCAUACCAAUGCUCGAAUGAUGGCUGUUGUUGUAGGAAAACUCUGCCAAGGGUAAAUACGCAUCCCAGCUACCCCCGAAAUCCAACACGCAUGCUCGAAGCAUGUCCUCAAGCGUCUGAAUCGUCUGCUCACUCUGACCGUCUGUCUGGGGGUGAUAUGCGGUACUAAAAUGCAAUCUAGUACCCAACUCCUCAUGAAAUUUCUUCCAGAAUCUGGAAGUGAAACGCACAUCACGGUCCGAAAUGAUCGAGAUCGGCACCCCAUGCCGAGAUACCACCUCUCUCACAUAUAUCUCUGCCAACUUCUCCGCUGAAGAACUCUCACUGAUGGCAAGGAAGUGAGCGCUCUUCGUCAAUCUAUCCACAAUCACCCAAAUUGCAUCAACUCCUCUGGCAGUUCUCGGCAAUUUGGUGAUGAAAUCCAUAGCGAUCUGUUCCCACUUCCACUCGAGAACCUCCAAUGGCUGCAACUUGCCAUGCGGUCUCUGGUGCUCGGCCUUAACCCUGCGGCAGAUCAAGCACCUCUCAACAAACCAGGCGACGUCCCUUUUCAUACAGGGCCACCAAUACUCUCUCCUCAAAUCCAAAUACAUCUUUGUAGCCCCCGGAUGAAUCGAAAAUUUCGAUCGAUGAGCCUCUUCCAUCAAAGUAGUACGCGUACCGCCCAUAAACGGUACCCAAAUCCGACCCUGAAAAGUCAUAAGCCCUCGACCAUCCGUAACGAACUCUGAAACCAAACCAACGACCCGUUCCCUCUUCUGCAUCUUCGGUCGCACAGCCUCGGCCUGUGCCCCACGAAUGGCAUCCAAUACCGGAGCUAUCACGGUCAAUCUCAAACUUACAUCUCGCAGUGGAGUGCUCUCUGCCCUGCGGCUCAACGCAUCGGCCACCACAUUGGCCUUACCCGGGUGGUACUGGAUCUCACAAUCAUAAUCCUUGACCACAUCUAACCACCUCCUCUGCCGCAUAUUUAGGUUGGGCUGAUCCAUCAAGUACUUCAAACUCUUAUGGUCCGUGUAUAUCGUACACCGAACCCCAUAUAAGUAGUGAUGCCAAAUCUUGAGGGCGAACACUACUGCCCCCAACUCUAGAUCGUGCGUGGGAUAUCUCGUCUCAUGAGGCUUCAGCUGCCUCGAUGCAUAAGUUAUCACAUGUCCCCUCUGCAUCAAUACCGCACCCAGCCCCAUAAUAGAUGCAUCACAAUAUACUACAAAAUCCUCCAUCCCUUCCGGGAGAGCUAAUACCGGGGCUUCGCACAACCUUUGGCGAAGGGUCUCAAAGGAGGUCUGCUGCUCGGGACCCCAUGAGAAUGCAACACCCUUUCGGGUCAAUCUGGUGAGUGGCACUGCGAUCUUGGAGAAAUCCUUGAUAAAUCUCCGAUAAUACCCCGCCAAUCCAAGGAAACUCCUGAUCUCAGAGGGUGACUUCGGCACCUCCCAACUCAUCAUUGCCUCAACCUUGGCCGGAUCGACCAUUAUCCCAUUCUGAUUAACGAGAUGUCCAAGGAACUGAACCUCCCGCAACCAGAAAUCACACUUGGAGAACUUUGCAUAAAGCUUCUCCGAUCUCAAAACCCCAAGGACCUCCCUCAAAUGCUCCUCAUGCUGCUCUCUAGAUCUCGAAUACACUAGAAUAUCAUCGAUAAAUAUAAUCACCGACCGAUCCAACAUCGGCCUGCAUACCCUGUUCAUGAGAUCCAUGAACACAGCCGGGGCAUUGGUGAGCCCAAAAGGCAUCAACACAAACUCACAAUGCCCAUAACGCGUCCUGAACGCUGUCUUCUGGACGUCCCCAUCCCGCACUCUCACCUGAUGAUAUCCCGACCUCAAGUCGAUCUUGGAGAACCAAGAUGCUCCCUGCAACUGAUCGAAUAAAUCAUCGAUCCUCGGCAACGGAUAACGGUUCUUGACCGUCAGCUUGUUCAACUCCCGGUAAUCAAUGCACAUCCGGUGUGAACCAUCCUUCUUCUUGACGAACAGAAUAGGUGCUCCCCACGGCGAGCUGCUCGGCCGAAUAAAUCCCUUCCCCAGCAACUCCUGAAGCUGCGAGGACAGCUCCUGCAUCUUUGGAGGUGUAAGACGAUAAGGCACCUUAGCAAUAGGUGCGGCCCCUGGAACCAAAUCAAUACCAAACUCCACUUGCCUCACAGGAGGCACACCCGGCAACUCCUCAGGAAAAACAUCUGGAAACUCACGCACCACCGGUACCUCCUCAACUGAACUCGGUCUCUCGAAAGUCGCUCGCGUAUCCAUCACAUACGCUACAAAACCCUUACAGCCCUGCUGUAGACACUGCCUUGCCCUAGCGGCCGAACAAAAAGCUGAUCCUGAACGUGUACCCUCGCCGUACACUGAAAGAACUCCUCCACUAGGGUUUCGUAUGGUCACCAGCUGACGCUCGCAGUCGAUAACCGCACCGAAUCGGCUCAACCAGUCCAUGCCCACAAUGACACAGACAUCACCCAUCGCAAUAGGAAUCAGAUCAAUCAGAAACUCGACCCCGAAAAUCUCUAACACGCAUCCCCGGAGAACCUCCGUGGCACAAAUCACUCUAUCGUCAGCUAUGGAAACUCUUAGAGGUCGACUCAAUACCUCACGACUAACACUGAUAUGCUGACUAAAGGCUGAAGAUACAAAAGACCGACUCGCACCCGAGUCGAAUAACACUAAAGCAGGUACAGAGCUCACAAGAAAAGUACAUACGCAUAACAUAAUAUAAGCAUAAUAUCUCAACAUCAAAAUAAAUACAUGAAAGGAAACAUACCAGCCACAACAUCGGGCGCAACGCGGACCUCCUCCACAGUCAGCUGGAAGGCCCUCCCUCGAGCUCUCGGCGCCUCGACCUUCACAGGCCGACUCUCAGUAGCUCUGAUGGCGACAGGAGCAGAUCCCUGAGAUGCUCCGCGCAACUGCGGACACUCGGCCUUACGGUGUCCGGUCUGGUUGCAGUGAAAACACACUGCAAACCCCUUGGGGCAGUCCCUGGCCAUGUGCCCCUCCUUGCCACAUUUGUAGCAAGACCCCGCUCGACAAACUCCGUCAUGACCCUUGCCGCACUUCCCGCAAGUGCGGCCCUUCUGGCUCCCUGGUUUGGGAUCAGCGGGCUUGGGCCGCUUGGCUGCCGGCUGAGACUGUGCCGGUCGCCGAUCCCUCCCCUGAGACUCCGCCUCCUCCCUGGCCUGAGUCUCAAGCUCAAUCUCCCUCUUCCGGGCAUUCGCCUGAAGCUCAGCAAAUUUCCGGUACGAGGAGUUCGCAGCGAACUCCCGAAUAUCCCGCCUCAGAAUGCUCAAGUAGCAGCUCAUACGUGCCUGCUCAGUGGACACGUGCUCAGGGCAGAACAUCGCCCUCUCCUGGAACAUCCUCGUGAUCGCUGUAACUGACUCACUACCCUGCUUGAGGGUCAGAAACUCCUGUGCCAAACGCUCCCUCUCCACCUAGGGAACGUACUCAUCCCGAAACAUGGUAGUGAAUCUCUCCCAGGUCACUGCCGAAAGCUCAGCAGGCGUAUAAUGCGCCGUAACAAACUUCCACCAGUCCUUCGCUCCCAAGCGAAGCUGGUUCAGCGCAAACCGAACCUUCAAAUGCUCAGGAGACGAGCAAGUGAAGAAACACCCCUCAAUAUCAGAUAUCCACCUCAUAGCUGCCACCGGAUCCUGAGUCCCAUCAAACUCUGGUGGUUUUGUGUUGCUGAACUCGCGGAACAGCAACGCAUCACCACCCUGCGGCCUCGCAGCAGCAAUCGCUGUAGUAGCCGCUGCAGCAGCAGCCUCAGAAAGAGCGGCAUAAUGCUUAUCAAACGUCUCAAUCAAAGUGGUCUUUAUAGACCCAAACAUCUCAGGUAUCUCUGCCCUGAUGGCCGCAGCCACCUCCUCCUGAAUGAUCUGGCGGAUCUCCUCCUCACUGGUACCACUACUCUCGGGCAUCAAACGUGUCCUCACCAUGAUUAACCUCUGAAAUACAACAUACGAUAAAUUAUAAUCCACACGAGCAUACUCACACUCGACAACUCUUCCCUCCUCGAUUCUUGGCAUUCCAAGGAUUCUUACUUGGAUUGCACACCGCUCCGGUGCUUCCAGUAGUACGGGCCCAAUACUACUGUCCGCACCACACCAGAAUGCACUCCAAGUCCUCCUCUUCGGAUCCCAAGUCCCAAGUACUCUAUCAUGCGUAAAUCACUCUCUAAUAGAUCUCUCAUAAGCCCCUCACUGCUACCUACUCACUCUCAAGCAUCUCCUAGCAGCUCACCCUCCCUAGGCUAAGGCAUCACAAAUCAGGCCACUCUAAUCCUAAUAGUAAUACCUCGCCUAUUCUAGCAUGCAGAUACAUCGCAUCAAUAUUAACCUAAUAUGAAGGUAUUUUGGGAAACCACCGUUCGGGCGCUGACUGAUCGUACACACAUCUCUUGCUCUGCAUUUUUCAAAAAUCUUUUACUCUCUUUUUUUUUUUUUUGAAAAUACAUCUCAAAUCCUCAGUUUGAGUUCAAAUACGCCCAAAGGUGUAUUCGAAUCCCUCAAACCAAGGCUCUGAUACCAACUUGUAACACCGUAAAUUUUCAAAAUAAUUUUUCACAAAUAUAAAAACAUUUCUCAUUUAAUUUCAUAAAACGUUAAGUUUAAAAUUCCAAAUCAUGUCAUACAAUCCCAAGAUCUCAUAAAUACAUAUCAAAAGUCCCCUGAGUGUGUACGGAUCAAGCCGGCGCCUUCCCACGGUCAUCGCUAGUACCUGAAACAACAACACUAACACUGUAAGCACGAAGCUUAGUGAGUUCCCCAAAAUACCACACAUAAAACAUAUAUUAGCCACUCGAGGCUGUAACUCUAUGGGUCCGUGCACCCAGACUCUGUGAACCCUCAGGUUCUAACUCUAGGAACCUUCCGGUCCCAACUCUGUAAACAUGCACAACAUAAUCACAUAGAAAUAAUGCAGUACAACACAUAGCAUACACAUAACAUACACACACCAACACAUAGCUCUGAUUACCUACUCAAGGUAAAGUAUAGUGAGAAGACUCACCUCGCGUGUCUCGGUAUCUCACGAAUCCUGGAAAUCCCUCGUGCUCGAUCCUCCGAGCUCUAAUCCUCCUAUAAUAUCACAUGACUCUAAUUAACACUUUUUAUCUCUAAGGUUGACUAUCCCUAAGAAGUCAACACAGGUCAACUCAGGUCAACGGUCAACUUUGACCGGACUCGGCGAGUGCACAAGGGCAACUCGGCGAGUCUAGACGUUUCCACCAACACCUUAGGAUUCCCUUUUUACUCGUCGAGUACUCCCCCUGACUCGACGAGUUCCACCUGGCAGAAUCGCGGGGCCACUCCGACUCAACUCGCCGAGUUCCAAGAACAACUCGGCGAGUCCCAGUUCGACUCAGUCCACCUGUCAACCCUCUCUAACUCGCCCUGACUCACUGAGUCAACCCAUGACUCGACUGGACCACUCACUGGCUGGUCCAAGGAAAUCUUCAAGCUACUCGCCGAGUCUGUUCAUCAGACUCGGCGAGUCCAUGCCAUGUAAUCGCUCAAACUCGCUUUUAAGGUCAGAUAUGUUCCAACAAUUCAUAGAUCUGGCCUUUCUAGACUGAUUCACCACGUAAAGCCCCAAACUUGAUGCACAUACAACCUCUAUAUGGCUAUAAAUGAAGGAAUACCAACAAAUAUCACUACCCAAGGUCAUGACCUCCAUUGCUCUCCAUAAAGCUUGAUGAAUGAGGCUCUCUGGACCUCUAUGGAUCCAGAUCCAAAGCCUCAUCACUAGCAAGGGACUAUUUGGCCAUCAAAUCAACUCAACAAGGCCACAAGAAACCCUAAAUCCAACUAUACUCCACAAAACAGAAGAUGAACCGAAAUCAUACCUCUAGAUCGAUGAUCUAAGCUUCAAAUCCGCAGAAUAGCAACCUCAUUUGCCUCCUCUUGGCUAGAACCUCCCUCCUCUUUGCUAGACAACACACAAAGGUCAAGAAAUGCUUCCUUUCUCUCCCAAAUCGCCAAAGCACUAUAGGGUUUCUCUCUAUGGACUGUUGGGUACAAAUGACGCCCAUAAGGCCCUUUAAAUAGGUCCUAAACCCGAGAAAUUAGGGUUUCAUUAAACAGCACGGACUCGCCGAGUCCAAUCAAAUCCCGCGUCCAGAAUCGCGAUCCUACUCGGCGAGUUUGAGCUCCAACUCGCCGAGUCCCCUCUCAAAACACCAAAAAUCAAAGCAAUAAAGGAUACCUGGAAAUCCGGACUGUUACAUGUGAUUUAUGUGCUUAUAUGAUAGGAUAUUAUAUGGUAGUGAUAGGGGGUGAAAUAGACCCCGUAACCGAUUGAAAGAGACCGAAGGGGUAGACAACACCCAUAUAUGCUAGGCAGUUACCAGUUAAAAGAGACCGAAGGGGUAGAACAACACCCUGAUAUGCUAGGCGGUUACCGGUUGAAAGAGACCGAAAGGGUAGGCCAACACCCUAAUAUGUUAGGCAAUAUCGGUUGAAAGAGACCGAAGGGGUAGGUCAGCACCCGAAUAUGCUAGGCGGUAUGUUUAUUGUAUGGUAUGUGGUAUGAUGGGGGAACUCACUAAGUUUCGUGCUUACGGUUUUCAAUUUUGGUUUCAGGUACUUCUACUUCGAAAGGAAAUGAGUCGGCAUGAUCGCAACGCAUCACACUAUGAUUUUCCGCAUAUGUGAUCUUUGGGAUUUGUACUCUGAUGUUGUUUUACUAUGACAUGUUUUGGUUAUUGAGAUAUUGGUUUUGGUUGUGAUAUGGGAUGACACUAUUGAUGUUUUCUGACUAUUGUUUUUUUUUAUAUAAUUACGUAAUUAAAAAAUAAAAUUUUUGGUCAUGAAUUUUGGAAUGUUACAGGUUUGGACCUUCAAAUCAUCCAAGAUGCAAGUACAAAUUUGUUUCUAAUUCAUCCAUAAGAGGAGAAAAAUUGAGCAUGCAAAUUUCUGGUGCGUCGGCUUUUCAAUAGUAGUGUUGUGGUGCAUCAGCGUUCAGUGGUGCCCGUAAUCAUUUGGUGGCCCGACGAUGGAGCAACAAGUAAAGAAAGAAGAAAGAAUCGCGGUAUUAGGGUUUAACCUAGUUUUUUUAAAGCAACAUUUAUUUUUUGUCCAAAAGACAUUUGCAAGUAUGAGAAAAUGACGCACAAACUUUUUGACUUCUGCAGUUUUCUAAAAAACAGACAGUUUGCGAAAGAAA
Molecule: long non-coding RNA, 12439 nt
Organism: Lactuca sativa (garden lettuce)
Lineage: Eukaryota; Viridiplantae; Streptophyta; Magnoliopsida; Asterales; Asteraceae
Source: RefSeq, a predicted model, not a curated record